AGUAAAUAGAUACCCAGGUAGUCCACGCCGUAAACGAUGAGUACUAGGUGUAGGAGGUAUCGACUCCUUCUGUGCCGCAGUUAAACACAAUAAGUACUCCGCCUGGGAAGUACGGUCGCAAGAUUAAAACUCAAAGGAAUUGACGGGGGCCCGCACAAGCAGCGGAGCAUGUGGUUUAAUUCGAAGCAACGCGAAGAACCUUACCUAGACUUGACAUCCCCUGAAUAACGUAGAGAUACGCGAAGCCCUUCGGGGCAGGGAGACAGGUGGUGCAUGGUUGUCGUCAGCUCGUGUCGUGAGAUGUUGGGUUAAGUCCCGCAACGAGCGCAACCCUUAUCAUUAGUUGCUACCAUUUAGUUGAGCACUCUAGUGAGACUGCCCGGGUUAACCGGGAGGAAGGCGGGGAUGACGUCAAAUCAUCAUGCCCCUUAUGUCUAGGGCUACACACGUGCUACAAUGGUGAGAACAACGAGAUGCAAUACCGCGAGGUGGAGCAAAACUUCAAAACUCAUCUCAGUUCGGAUUGUAGGCUGAAACUC
RNAcentral lists this ribosomal RNA (539 nucleotides) under uncultured bacterium. Its description in RNAcentral is "bacterial SSU rRNA". It matches the Rfam family "Bacterial small subunit ribosomal RNA", at positions 774 to 1313 of the family's 1533-position model. The record is from RNAcentral.